RNAcentral lists this ribosomal RNA (300 nucleotides) under uncultured Lactobacillus sp. RNAcentral's name for it is "bacterial SSU rRNA". It matches the Rfam family "Bacterial small subunit ribosomal RNA", at positions 496 to 795 of the family's 1533-position model. Lineage: Bacteria; Bacillati; Bacillota; Bacilli; Lactobacillales; Lactobacillaceae. The record is from RNAcentral.
GCGAACUGCGGGCAGGGAGCGGGGGUAAUACGGAGGGGGCAAGGGUGGUCCGGAGUUAUUGGGCGUAAAGGGCGGGGAGGCGGCCAUGCAGGUCCGCGGUGAAAACGCGAGGCUCAACCUCGGGACGUCGGUGGAAACCGUAUGGCUAGAGUCCGGAAGAGGAGAGUGGAAUUCCCGGUGUAGCGGUGAAAUGCGCAGAUAUCGGGAAGAACACCCGUGGCGAAGGCGGCUCUCUGGGACGGUACUGACGCUGAGACGCGAAAGCGUGGGGAGCGAACAGGAUUAGAUACCCCUGUAGUC